This 253-nucleotide ribosomal RNA is filed under the name uncultured bacterium. RNAcentral's name for it is "partial 16S ribosomal RNA". It matches the Rfam family "Bacterial small subunit ribosomal RNA", at positions 524 to 776 of the family's 1533-position model. The record is from RNAcentral.
UACGGAGGGAGCUAGCGUUGUUCGGAUAUACUGGGCGUAAAGCGCACGUAGGCGGCGCAGCAAGUCAGGGGUGAAAUCCCGGAGCUCAACUCCGGAACUGCCUUUGAAACUGCAGUGCUAGAGUCCUGGAGAGGCGAGUGGAAUUCCGAGUGUAGAGGUGAAAUUCGUAGAUAUUCGGAAGAACACCAAUUGCGAAGGCAGCUUACUAAACAGUUAUUGACGCUGAGGCACGAAAGCGUGGGGAUCAAACAGG